CGGUCGACCGGCGCACGGGUGAGUAACGCGUAUCCAACCUUCCCAUUAUUGUGGGAUAACCUGCCGAAAGGCAGACUAAUACCGCAUAGUCUUCGAUGACGGCAUCAGAUUUGAAGUAAAGAUUUAUCGGUAAUGGAUGGGGAUGCGUCUGAUUAGCUUGUUGGCGGGGUAACGGCCCACCAAGGCGACGAUCAGUAGGGGGUUCUGAGAGGAAGGUCCCCCACAUUGGAACUGAGACACGGUCCAAACUCCUACGGGAGGCAGCAGCC
Molecule: ribosomal RNA, 269 nt
Filed under: uncultured Prevotella sp.
Lineage: Bacteria; Pseudomonadati; Bacteroidota; Bacteroidia; Bacteroidales; Prevotellaceae
Description: partial 16S ribosomal RNA
Rfam family: Bacterial small subunit ribosomal RNA
Source: RNAcentral